Molecule: unclassified non-coding RNA, 689 nt
Filed under: Saxifraga hispidula
Lineage: Eukaryota; Viridiplantae; Streptophyta; Magnoliopsida; Saxifragales; Saxifragaceae
Description: sequence contains ITS1, 5.8S rRNA gene, ITS2
Rfam family: 5.8S ribosomal RNA (bases 288-443)
Source: RNAcentral
ACAAGGUUUCCGUAGGUGAACCUGCGGAAGGAUCAUUGUCGUAACCCUGCGAAAGCAAGACGACUCGCGAACACGUAGUUACCCUGGGGGAUUCGAGCGCGUCUCCUUCGGGCCGAAGCGCUCGRUUCCCAACGUCGGGAAGGCUUGGCGCCUGUCUCCGAGCUUUGUCCCGACACAACAAAAACCCGGCGUGAAAUGCGCCAAGGAACAUAAAAAGAGAGCGCAUUCUUCCGGUGCUGGCUCGCGCUGCACUCGGACGGGUGCCGUCUUCUUGAUGAGUUUAURAUGACUCUCGGCAACGGAUAUCUCGGCUCUUACAUCGAUGAAGAACGUAGCAAAAUGCGAUACUUGGUGUGAAUUGCAGAAUCCCGUGAACCAUCGAGUCUUUGAACGCAAGUUGCGCCCGAAUCCCUUGGGUUAAGGGCACGUCUGCCUGGGUGUCACGUACACACGUCUCCCACAAUCCUUCGCCCUCUGCGGACGAAGGGUCUCGUGAGAGCAGAGAUUGGUAUCCCGUGCCCCCGAGGCGCGGCUYACCUAAARACAGAGAGCCAGUGAUGAAACGUCACGUCUAGUGGUGGUUAAUGUGCCUCGACGGCCGACCAGUUCGCGGCGCGAUUGUUUGUCGCUGGGAAAGCUCGACCGACACCUUGAACGUCGUCUAAUCGGCGUGCUACUGUCGCGACCCC